CCCCGUAACUUCGGGAGAAGGGGUGCUGGUGUAACAGCCAGCCGCAGUGAAUAGGCCCAAACAACUGUUUAUCAAAAACACAGGUCUAUGCUAAAUCGUAAGAUGACGUAUAUGGGCUGACGCCUGCCCGGUGCUGGAAGGUUAAGAGGAUCAGUUAGCUUUUGCGAAGCUGAGAAUUGAAGCCCCAGUAAACGGCGGCCGUAACUAUAACGGUCCUAAGGUAGCGAAAUUCCUUGUCGGGUAAGUUCCGACCCGCACGAAAGGCGUAAUGAUUUGGGCACUGUCUCAACGAGAGACUCGGUGAAAUUAUAAUACCCGUGAAGAUGCGGGUUACCCGCGACAGGACGGAAAGACCCCAUGGAGCUUUACUGUAGCUUGAUAUUGAGUUUUUGUGUGACAUGUACAGGAUAGGUAGGAGCCGUUGAUUUCGGAACGCUAGUUUCGAAGGAGGCGUUGGUGGGAUACUACCCUUGUUAUAUGAAAGCUCUAACCUACAUCGCUCAGCGCGAUGAGGGACAGUGUCUGGUGGGCAGUUUGACUGGGGCGGUCGCCUCCUAAAAUGUAACGGAGGCGCUCAAAGGUUCGCUCAGAAUGGUUGGAAAUCAUUCGCAGAGUGUAAACGUAAAAGCGAGCUUGACUGCGAGACUGACAAGUCGAGCAGGGACGAAAGUCGGAGUUAGUGAUCCGGUGGUACCAUAUGGAAGGGCCAUCGCUCAACGGAUAAAAGCUACCCUGGGGAUAACAGGCUUAUCUCCCCCAAGAGUUCACAUCGACGGGGAGGUUUGGCACCUCGAUGUCGGCUCAUCGCAUCCUGGGGCUGUAGUCGGUCCCAAGGGUUGGGCUGUUCGCCCAUUAAAGCGGUACGCGAGCUGGGUUCAGAACGUCGUGAGACAGUUCGGUCCCUAUCCGUCGCGGGCGCAGGAAAUUUGAGAGGAGCUGUCCUUAGUACGAGAGGACCGGGAUGGACGUUCCGCUGGUGUACCAGUUGUGCCGCCAGGCGCAUCGCUGGGUAGCUAUGAACGGCAGGGAUAAACGCUGAAAGCAUCUAAGUGUGAAGCCCCCCUCGAGAUGAGAUUUCCCAUUCCUAUAUGGAAGUAAGACCCCUGAGAGAUGAUCAGGUAGAUAGGCUGGAAGUGGAAGUGCAGCGAUGCAUGGAGCGGACCAGUACUAAUCGGUCGAGGACUUAACCAA
RNAcentral lists this ribosomal RNA (1191 nucleotides) under human gut metagenome. Its description in RNAcentral is "bacterial LSU rRNA". It matches the Rfam family "Bacterial large subunit ribosomal RNA", at positions 1726 to 2925 of the family's 2925-position model. The record is from RNAcentral.